GACGAACGCUGGCGGCGUGCUUAACACAUGCAAGUCGAGCGGUAAGGCCACUUCGGUGGUACAUGAGCGGCGAACGGGUGAGUAACACGUGAGCAACCUGCCCUUCUCUUUGGAAUAAGCGUUGGAAACGACGUCUAAUGCCGAAUAUGACCUCUUUUCGCAUGAUCUGAGGUGGAAAGCUCCGGCGGAGAAGGAUGGGCUCGCGGCCUAUCAGCUAGUUGGUGUGGGUAAUGGCCCACCAAGGCGACGACGGGUAGCCGGCCUGAGAGGGUGACCGGCCACACUGGGACUGAGACACGGCCCAGACUCCUACGGGAGGCAGCAGUGGGGAAUAUUGGACAAUGGGCGAAAGCCUGAUCCAGCAACGCCGCGUGAGGGAUGACGGCCUUCGGGUUGUAAACCUCUUUCAGCACCGACGAAGCGAGAGUGACGGUAGGUGCAGAAGAAGGACCGGCCAACUACGUGCCAGCCGCCGCCGUAA
This 481-nucleotide ribosomal RNA is filed under the name uncultured bacterium. Its description in RNAcentral is "partial 16S ribosomal RNA". It matches the Rfam family "Bacterial small subunit ribosomal RNA", at positions 28 to 523 of the family's 1533-position model. The record is from RNAcentral.